RNAcentral lists this long non-coding RNA (215 nucleotides) under Elaeis guineensis (African oil palm). Its description in RNAcentral is "long non-coding RNA (EGUI_LNC066860)". The record is from RNAcentral. Lineage: Eukaryota; Viridiplantae; Streptophyta; Magnoliopsida; Arecales; Arecaceae.
CCCUAACAUGUCCAAGAGUUGGACAUAAUAAAAUCAAAUUUGAUUUAAUUUUUAUUCUUGGUCUAUGAGAUGGACGGUUCUCCUCUUCUUCUCCUCAGAUCUAGUCUAAGGAUUGGAUAAGAAGGAAGAUCAAGAGAUCUUAUUUCUUAUUUUCUUUCGUAGAUCUUGAAUUUCUCUUGAGAAGAGAAAAGUGAGAAAAAAAAUCAGAUUUGAUC